RNAcentral lists this ribosomal RNA (314 nucleotides) under uncultured bacterium. Its description in RNAcentral is "bacterial SSU rRNA". It matches the Rfam family "Bacterial small subunit ribosomal RNA", at positions 28 to 334 of the family's 1533-position model. The record is from RNAcentral.
GACGAACGCUGGCGGCGCGCCUAACACAUGCAAGUCGAACGGAGCUUAAAGGAGCUUGCUUUUUUAAGCUUAGUGGCGGACGGGUGAGUAACACGUGAGCAACCUGCCUUUCAGAGGGGGAUAACGUUUGGAAACGAACGCUAAUACCGCAUAACAUUGCUUUAAGGCAUCUUAAGGCAAUCAAAGGAGCAAUCCGCUGAAAGAUGGGCUCGCGUCCGAUUAGAUAGUUGGCGAGGGUAACGGCCCACCAAGUCGACGAUCGGUAGCCGGACUGAGAGGUUGAACGGCCACAUUGGGACUGAGACACGGCCCAG